GACGAACGCUGGCGGCGUGCUUAACACAUGCAAGUCGAACGGAAAGGCCCGGCUUUUGUGGGGUGCUCGAGUGGCGAACGGGUGAGUAACACGUGAGUAACCUGCCCUUGACUUUGGGAUAACUUCAGGAAACUGGGGCUAAUACCGGAUAGGAGCUCCUGCUGCAUGGUGGGGGUUGGAAAGUUUCGGCGGUUGGGGAUGGACUCGCGGCGUAUCAGCUUGUUGGUGGGGUAGUGGCUUACCAAGGCCUUGACGGGUAGCCGGCCUGAGAGGGUGACCGGCCACAUUGGGCCUGGGAUACGGCCCAGACUCCUACGGGAGGCAGCAGUGGGGAAUAUUGCACAAUGGGCGGAGCCCUGAUGCAGCCCCGCCGCGUGCGGGAUGACGUCCUUCGGGUUGUAUUCCGCUUCCGCCUGUGACGAAGCGUGAGUGACGGUAAUGGGUAAAGAAGCACCGGCUAACUACGUG
Molecule: ribosomal RNA, 468 nt
Filed under: uncultured bacterium
Lineage: Bacteria
Description: partial 16S ribosomal RNA
Rfam family: Bacterial small subunit ribosomal RNA
Source: RNAcentral